CUGGGAGAAAAUCCUGAGCCAUAUUCCACCUUCUUUGAUGGCUAAGGAAACAAAAGCAGUGCAAAAGAUCCUUCUGCCAAUGACUCUUACAUGUAGAGCUCCAAUCGAGCAAUUCAUGCAUGGCAGCAAGCAGACCGGAUUUUUGGGGAGAAGGCAAUUGGAACAGUUCGGCCAUGGGACGGCACCUUACCCAGCAGUCGACCCUGGUGCCUGUUCGUUCACCCACAGAGCUGCCAUCUUCCAUUUACUGUGACGGAAAAGGCUUGCGUUUUCUUCAGGGAGUGGCGAACCAGAGCAGCAGGGACGCUCUUUAAAGUGGUGCGCUGGGAUGUGGGAAUGCGCAAGCAAGGCGAUGCAAACGAAUCUGGGUCCUGCUCGUAUAACAUCACUGAUCAGCACCAUACAGACCAUACCUUUCAUUUCCAGAAUGUUCCAUGCACAUACUCAUAGACUCAAACAUCCCUUUGUUAAAGGAAUAUUGCUCCCAAAAAUUAAUCACUCAUGUUUACUGGUCGCUGUAUUUUUUUGUGACAUUACAAUGAAUGGGGAUGGGAGCUUUCAAGCUUCAAAACGGACGCGAAAGCACCAUAAAAGAAUCAUAAAAGUAUUCAAUGACAUGUUUUAAAGUAGUUCAUAAGUCUUCUAUAGCCACAUCAAGUUGUCAUUGGCUAAUUAUGUUCCAUUCCUUUUGAGUGAAGACCAGCUGUGAUCUGAACUCUGAAUCGUGAAGAAAUAAUUUAGAUCAGUUUAGUAAAGCGAAUCCCAUUCAAAUGUAUGAUUUGUUCACAAAGUGUACAGCUAAAAAGAUAUUUUGCAAAAUGGGGGUCACCAAACAAGACUGAUCCCCUUUGACUCCUAUUAUACCAGACAUUUCUCAAAAUAUAUUAUUAAAAAUGUGUGUGUGUAAACUGUUCUUCACUCACAUUACUUCAGCUCUUCCUAUCCGUCAGCACCCCCCUUUUAUUUCUCUCCUUUGAUUUUUAAACUCAUUUGCAUCCUCUUCUUUAAUUUCUCUGAAUUACCAAAAGUAUUAUUUCUCCAGGAAGGGUGUUUCUGGGGUGAUUAAGGAUAUGUUGACAGAUGCAUAGAAGACAAUAAGAUUAGUCAUUAUUAUUUAUUCUGAUCAAACAAAUCCAGUGAGUUCUGUUUUUCCUAUUAAAACUAGCGUGAUUGAACCUCGAGGCGUUGACAUGAAGAUCACAGAGCGAUGUUUUGGUUAGAGUGCAUCUGUACGCUGGUCACUGAUUGCUCUUGCCUGUUUUAAAUCGCUGCCGAUGACAAAUUGCAGUCGAGGUGGGACUGUAAGCACACGCUAGAACAAAAGUACCAAUGAGUUUCAGCGGCUGCAUGGGAGUUGCCAUUAUUACUUCCUCCUGAUUUGAAUCUUUUGUGAACAUGAAGUUUGUUCAAUGAGCCUCCUCCAUUUUCCUUCCUAUUGUGAAUUCAACUUUCAAUUGUGAGUCUGCAGAGAACACCUCCACCCAGAUCUAUAUGUGGAUAUAAAACUCUGAUCAUUUAUAGAUAUCCAAAAAUAUAAAAAGGAUUUUUCCACUCAUGCUGGGUCUAUAUAAAAGCUUAAUGUCACCUCUUGGCAAGAGAAUGUUAGAUAAAAUAAUAGAUGGUACCUUCGGCAAGGUCCAUCUGGUGCAAUUAUUUUAUUUUAUAAAAUGGAUUUUUAGGUCAUUUGACCCAUCUCACACUAUAACUUAUACCUCUAAGCAACAGUGCAACAGUCAUGAUUAGAGGAUAAAGAAAAGAAGAUGCUUGGCACGUUUCCAAGUCAUCAUUUGUUAUUUGAAAUAUUGUAAUAAAUACAAC
Triplophysa dalaica is the source of this 1818-nucleotide long non-coding RNA. RefSeq lists it as uncharacterized. The transcript has 3 exons. The record is from RefSeq and is a predicted model, not a curated record. NCBI's taxonomy places the organism in Eukaryota, Metazoa, Chordata, Actinopteri, Cypriniformes, Nemacheilidae.